RNAcentral lists this small RNA (2339 nucleotides) under Pongo abelii (Sumatran orangutan). RNAcentral's name for it is "processed transcript". Lineage: Eukaryota; Metazoa; Chordata; Mammalia; Primates; Hominidae. The record is from RNAcentral.
AGAAGGUGAGCUCAGACUUCCCGAUAGCAUUGCAGAAGCGUUUCUUGCUCUGGUCGUGCCCCACACAGGCGCGCUUUUCCUUCAGGGGCUGUGACUGGUUAUGGAAAACGGCACACCUGCCACUCUGUCAGACCAUGAGGUUUAAUUGAGUGAACACCGCUGUUCCAGGGCUCUGCCUUUCGCUGAACGCUCCUGCUGGGCUCGGGCCUCCCGAGUAGCUGGAAGUACAGAUAAUCACAGCUGGCUUAUCAAUAUUGCUGUUUGAUGCGAUCCUGACCAGUGCAGCCACGGGAUGCCUCCUGCUCGGUGCACUUGGAGAGGCCUUGCUGGUUUUCUCAGAGCGGAAGAGCUCCUGAACAAGACAGUCAAGAGAAGGAGACUCACAGGCUGCUGCGGGAGAACAUCGCCCCUAGUCUCAUAGCUCCCUGUUGAAUGUGUCAGAAAGAGGAACGCAAGGACAGUGAUGCCAGGUGGGCAGUGCCAUCACCCUCACACAAGUGAAUGUGGUGGUGGCUGAUGAGGCCGAGGCCCUGGUGCUUCAAGGAGCACCCUUUCUGGGGGUCUGCAGGUUGCUGCAGAGGAGCGGUCUGUUACAUCUUCCCAUUUGGAGAACCUCUGUCAACCGUGCUGUAGCUGGUUCUGCAGAAACAGGAAGUACAGGAUUUCACGGGCUGGCUCCACUCCCCUCGACUGAGCUUCACACUUCUGGAUGCCACAUGCUUUCUCCCAAACACUGCUUUCAGUGCGAGGUAGUGGCCUAAGGGGUUUGGUUGUCAUUUUUUAUUUUUCAUUUUUAAAAUUUUAAAAUUUUUAUUUAUUAUUAUUUUUUAGAGACAAGGCCUCACUCUAUCGCCUAGGCUGAAGUGCAGUGGCGGGAUCACAGCUCAUUACAGCCUUGACCUCCUAGGCUCAGGCCAUCCUCCUGCCUCAGCAUCCAGAGUAGCUGGUGUGCACCACCACACCCGUCUCAUUUUUUCUAUUUUUAUUGUUUUAGAGAUGGGGAUCUCACUGUGUUGCCCAGGCUGGUCUCAAACUCCUGGGCUCAAGCAAUCCUCCCACCUUGGCCUCAAAGUAUUGAGAUUACAGGCAUGAGCCACUGCACCCGGCCUUUCUCAUUGUUAUUUUUAAAUUGACAGACGUAACGGUGCGCAUUUAUCAUGCACAACACAAUGCUUUGGGAAUGGUUAAAUCUAGCUAACAAAUGCAUUACCUCACAUGGUUAUCAUUUUUGUGGUGAGGCUUGGUUGUCUGUUUUGUUUCAUUCGUGUUUUUACAUCCUUGGAGUCUCCUCUGGGUCCGUCCUUUCUUUGCUGUCAUGCUGGCUUGCCUAAGGCCCACCCCCACCUGUGUACGAGCAUUUUAAACUCUGGAGUGAGUGACAGCCUUUUCGUGGUUGAUAUUACUAUUUAUUUCCUGCCUCUAAACUUCUCGUGGUCGUUAUAAACUUGUCAGGAUGUGUGUUACGUUGAAUUCUGCAUGUCGUUUUUUUGCCCACCAUUAGGUUAAACUGGUACUAACUUAUCACCAGAGGAAACAGGGUUAUGAGCACUGACAGAUGUCUUCCCUGGGCCAAAAAAAAAAAAAGUAUAUGUAUACACACACACUAUACAUUUAUAUUUAUAUUUCUUAAAGCUUUUAAUCCCUUUCAUUCCCUGAUAUCUCAGAGAUUUCAAAUCAUUGAACACUGAAGUAUAUUUUUCAGGCCAGAUGAAAAAUUGUAUUAAAACCCUAUUCCUGGUCAGGCGCAGUGGCUCACACCUAUAAUCCCAGCACUUUGGGAGGCCGAGGUAAGCAGAUCACCUGAGGUGGGGAGUUCAAGACCAACCUGGCCAACAUGGUGAAACCCUGUCUCUACUAAAAAUACAAAAAAAUUAGCCUGAUGUGGUGGUGUGUGCCUGUAGUCCCAGCUACUUAGGAGGCUGAGGUAGGAGAAUUGCUUGAACCUGGGAGGCGGAGGUUGCAGUGAGCCAAAAUUACGCCACUGCACUCCAGCCUGGGCAACAGAGUGGGACUGUCUCAAAAACAACUCAACAACAAUAACAACAAAAACCCUAUUCCUUGCCUUUGUAGGAGUCAAAAUAAAUGAACUUCUUUUUUCUUUUUUUUAUUAUUAUACUUUAAGUUCUGGGGUACAUGUGCAGAAUGUGCAGGUUUGUUACAUAGGUAUACACAUGCCGUGGUGGUUUGCUGCACCCAUCAACCUGUCACCUACAUUAGGUAUUUCCCCUAAUGUUAUCCCUCCCCUAGCCCUCCACCCCCCGACAGGCCCCGGUGUGUGAUGUUCCCCUCCCUAUGUCCAUGUGUUCUCAUUGUUCCAAAAUAAAUGAAUUUACACAAAA